Drosophila biarmipes is the source of this 590-nucleotide long non-coding RNA. RefSeq lists it as uncharacterized. Lineage: Eukaryota; Metazoa; Arthropoda; Insecta; Diptera; Drosophilidae. The record is from RefSeq and is a predicted model, not a curated record. The transcript has 2 exons.
UUGAUUCCUAAAUUGUAAAAAAGAAUGAGUGGUUGUAUAAGCUUCCUUUUAUCUGCUACUUACUUUCUGAUAAAUCUAUUGUGUUUCUUAUGGUGUUUAAAUCUAACAAAGUUUUUAAAAUUAAUAGUUUAUUAUCAUUAUGUGAUUUGCAAGCUCUGCGAAUAGUUGUUUUCUAAAUUGUAAAAAAGAAUGAGUGGUUGUAUACGCUUCCUUUUACCUGCUACAUACUUUCUGAUAAACCAAUUGUUAUUGUUACAACACGGGUCCACUGGCCUUAUCAAUGUGACCAUGUACGCCUGUCAGUGAAUCCUGAAGUCGAACAUAAGUUUCUUUUAUUAGAUAAGAUUUGAGACAAAAAAGUUUGCCUUUUUAUCUCUGUGGACGGCAGUCCACGUAGUGCAAAGCGCACCAAAAGGACAUUAACAACUGCAUUCCGGCAGCACGACACUGAUAUGGAUGGAAUCUUAACCAUACAUUAUGAACAAUUCUUAAGCAUGGUUUUUUCUUUGCAAUUUAAAGCCAAGCAAAACAAAUACAAAUAACAAAUAUAAUGUAGUAAAAGUUUAAAAUAUACUUUUAUUAAACAACAA